Molecule: unclassified non-coding RNA, 21 nt
Filed under: Mus musculus (house mouse)
Lineage: Eukaryota; Metazoa; Chordata; Mammalia; Rodentia; Muridae
Description: oocyte_clustered_small_RNA10446
Source: RNAcentral
AGCCAGUGUUUUUAUGUUCUG